AGUGGCAGACGGGUGAGUAAUGUAUAGGAAUCUACCUAGUAGUACGGAAUAAUUGUUGGAAACGGCAACUAAUACCGUAUACGCCCUACGGGGGAAAGAUUUAUCGCUAUUAGAUGAGCCUAUAUUAGAUUAGCUAGUUGGUAAGGUAAUGGCUUACCAAGGCAAUGAUCUAUAGCUGAUCUGAGAGGAUGAUCAGCCACACUGGAACUGAGAUACGGUCCAGACUCCUACGGGAGGCAGCAGUGGGGAAUAUUGGACAAUGGGCGAAAGCCUGAUCCAGCCAUGCCGCAUGAGUGAAGAAGGCCUUUGGGUUGUAAAGCUCUUUCGGUGAGGAAGAUAAUGACGGUACUCACAGAAGAAGUCCUGGCUAACUCCGUGCCAGCAGCCGCGGUAAUACGGAGAGGGCUAGCGUUAUUCGGAAUUAUUGGGCGUAAAGAGCGCGUAGGCUGGUUAGUAAGUUAAAAGUGAAAUCCCAAAGCUCAACUUUGGAAUUGCUUUUAAAACUGCUAACCUAGAGAUUGAAAGAGGAUAGAGGAAUUCCUAGUGUAGAGGUGAAAUUCGUAAAUAUUAGGAGGAACACCAGUGGC
RNAcentral lists this ribosomal RNA (587 nucleotides) under uncultured Wolbachia sp. RNAcentral's name for it is "bacterial SSU rRNA". It matches the Rfam family "Bacterial small subunit ribosomal RNA", at positions 94 to 716 of the family's 1533-position model. The record is from RNAcentral. Lineage: Bacteria; Pseudomonadati; Pseudomonadota; Alphaproteobacteria; Rickettsiales; Anaplasmataceae.